Long non-coding RNA from Gasterosteus aculeatus aculeatus (three-spined stickleback), 1218 nucleotides. The record is from Ensembl. NCBI's taxonomy places the organism in Eukaryota, Metazoa, Chordata, Actinopteri, Perciformes, Gasterosteidae.
CACAAAGGAGGGACGAGUAGAGAAGGUCUGAUCAGUCGAAAAACUAAAAAGAUACCCGAAACAGCUGCAAUUUUUUCUGAUGGACAAUUUGGAGGCUUAUCAAAAGUCGGGUCUCCGAUUAGCUAUGUGGCUAAAGUGGCUCAGACCCGCUGAGCUCCCAUGCAAGGAGAAAAGCCUGCAGGCGAUAUCUCGGAAAUCUGACAAAAUGAAACAGAAGGAAGCUUUUACGCAGAUGGAAGCUAUUAUACUGUAAUAAUAAACCAUGGGAGGAAAACCACGGGAGAGACGAGAUGACAGAGAUGGAGAAGGGGAAAUCUUCGGAGGGAUCACGGGCCAGCACACGUGUCGAUCGGGCCCGCGGAUCAGCGCCUGUGCUCAUUUCCAUCACCUUGACGGCUGAGACCUACAUCGCACCACCGGGGACGAAAUGCAGAACGUGGCCUCCUCUCCAAAAUGUAUGCAAUCCCUUUUCCCAGAGAUGUGAGAUCUUUGAUUCUUUGAUUCGUCGUGCAGAUGUUUCACGCCUCCAGGCCCGAUGUUGAAGGAUGAACACAUCAUCUUUAACACAACAAAAUCUCUUCUCCCACUAUUUUGCUCCCCGAUGGCGUGUGCAAUUUUGUUUUGGUUCUUCUCGGUUCAGCGCUGCGGUCAGGCUCUGACAGUAGCCCCGUCCCUCGCCCCGUGUGCCCUCAGUCACAGUGUGUUUAACAUCUGCCCCGUGGGCCUGUACCUCUCACGGCCUUUCAGCACCCGUCGCUGCUCGCUCAAAGUCCCAGCGCCGCGGUGCUCUGCAGUCGCGCCUAAAAACCGCCCUUAUUAGCCGCGGCUCGAGCGCCGUCAUCGUCGGUGUCACGAUCAAACAGAGGCCAGUGCCUCGACGCUGGAAUCUGUCAACGAUCAAGGGGAGCGACGGACGAAAUGUCACACUGUGGCUGCGGGACAUAUCUCGAAAAGACAUCCAGCACCUGCAGGAAAGAAAAGAGGUUCCUUGCCCUUCCUCAUGUGUCACCAGUCUGAUUGUCUUCCCAGAUUCCUGGUUGUGUCCACCUAUUCCCACACUUCCCUCGUGUGUACUUAUAGUCUGCGUCUCCCCUUGUCCUGCGCCAGUGGGUCAUGUCCUUUCGUCUUGGCACACAUCAUUUUGUAUUGCCCAGCUCUAUUAGUUUAGCCAGAGCAUUUCCCCGUCCAUCCCUCUCCGGAGGGGUUUUUGGUUUCCCG